CACGGACAUGGAGGGCAAACGAGUUGUUGCCUGGGACGGAGACCGGAGGGGAGUGACUGAUUAAUUAGAGGCCAUGAGGGAGGGGAGAGGCCACUGGACCUCACACCAUGAUUGCGGUGUUGGGUACACGUCUAUAUACAUUUGUCAAAACAUGCUGAACUAUAAACUUUAAGCUGGUGAAUUGUAUUGCAUGAAAAUACACCUCAGUGAAGGAGCAAAAAAGAUUCCCACAAGUAGGCUAACUGCUUGUCUCCUCCGCCCUCAGCACGCAUACAUUUGUGGUCCUUUACUAGCAUUUUAUUUUAAAGUUCUAGUCUGGUGUGAUGGCACAUGCCUGAAAUCCCAGCUCUCCAGGAAACUGAGGCAGGAGGAUCACAAGUCUGAACACAGCCUGCGUAUCUGAGUGCCUUAGAGAGACUCAGUCUCCAAAAAUAAAAAGGCCUGGGGAUGCCCCACUAGGCCGCUGGGGAUAGAAUCCAGGCCUUUGCACACGUGCAGUAUCACUGAGUUACAGCCGGCCCUCUGUCAUGCUGUUUGUUCAAAGUGUUAUUGUAGCUGAGCGGGGAAAGAUGGGAAUUUGAUCUUUAGAACUGUCUUCUAGGAACCCGAGAGGCAACAGAAGUUAGAUGCUUGCAUGGAAGGUAUAAAAAGGGAGAAAGGAUGAGGGGGACAGGGUAGGGUGCACCUGCGCAGGCUGCACAGGGCCUUGGCUUUGACCACUAGCACUGAAAACACGGAAGGGAAGCCAGACGUGAGCAUUGUGCUUCCUGGAGGAGGCCCAUAACCACCUGCUAGUCAGUCAGCAAGCACUGCAAGUACAAGCACAUUAUGUUUUCCAGAGAACAACCCAAACAAGGACCCAAGGCCAUCAGAUGUCUAAAGAGGAGUGUCCAGGAGUCCAGGCUGGGUUUAGGACCCGGUCACGAGCCCGAAUGGCAUGUUCUUCUCUUUAGAUGACCUCUUCGGGGAGAACCAGGACAGGGAGUGUGUCUGGGGCCGUCAGUGAGAUUGUUUUCCAGCCUGAUGUCUAUGUGUAAUGAGGUAGUAACUGCAAUACUUGAAAACUGCCUAAGUCCCGGCUCCACACUGAGUGCAGCCUGAGCCGCAUUCCUUAGAGCAGCAGAGCUGGAAUAGGGAUUGGGAGGUGUGUCAGAUAGAGUGACUUCUGCUCAGUCUGCCUCUUGAUACAAGGCUGUUGGACUUUGCCCGGAAACUUGUGUUAAAUCAAGUUUGUAUGGUGCAGUGCUGGGCCUGGGGUUGGGUCUGGGCAGGGGGCUCUUGAGGCCCUGGGUCGGGUCUCUAGCACCCUGGGGCGGUUCACUGCGAGCUCUAGCACCGACACCGAACUUGGCCUUGCUCUCUCCCACCUCGGGCCAGAUGUCACGGCGAGCCCACCAUGAUGUCAUCCUCACCGCCACUGCAGGGAAGAAACCCCUCCUAGUCACCCGCACAGAAACGAGAGGGGAGAAAAUCACAUCUCUCCUUCCCUCGCCCUCUCAAAUGCCACUUAUGGCAGGAACUUCUCCAGGUCUCGGUGCAACUUUCCCAGAGAGCCACUGGGGGAGGGGUGGGCAGCGGUGUCCUGAUCUGCUGUCCUGGGUUGCUGGGUCACUGGGCUCCGGCUGCCUCCUGCAGACUGAACCGCCCCUGAGUCUUGUACCCCACACUCACGGGCUCCCGCCUUCUCUCCUGGAAUAGCACACAGGUGGCUGCUAAGCACAGGAAGAGAUGGUCAGCAGCACUGACCGUCAGGAAGUGCAAAUGGAACCCACAGUGAGCUGUCUUCACCUCCACAAGGGUGGCUAAAAGCAGAAAAAACAGUCAUGAACGUUCUUGAG
Molecule: long non-coding RNA, 1838 nt
Organism: Cavia porcellus (domestic guinea pig)
Lineage: Eukaryota; Metazoa; Chordata; Mammalia; Rodentia; Caviidae
Exons: 3
Source: RefSeq, a predicted model, not a curated record